UGGGAAAUACGCAAAGAAAUUCAGUGAUCAC
Molecule: non-coding RNA, 31 nt
Filed under: Rattus norvegicus (Norway rat)
Lineage: Eukaryota; Metazoa; Chordata; Mammalia; Rodentia; Muridae
Source: RNAcentral